Molecule: ribosomal RNA, 462 nt
Filed under: uncultured Syntrophus sp.
Lineage: Bacteria; Pseudomonadati; Thermodesulfobacteriota; Syntrophia; Syntrophales; Syntrophaceae
Description: bacterial SSU rRNA
Rfam family: Bacterial small subunit ribosomal RNA
Source: RNAcentral
CCCGCACAAGCGGUGGAGCAUGUGGUUUAAUUCGAUGCAACGCGAAGAACCUUACCUGGGCUUGACAUCUCGGGAAUCCCCUGGAAACAGGGGAGUGCCCUUCGGGGAGCCCGAAGACAGGUGCUGCAUGGCUGUCGUCAGCUCGCGUCGUGAGAUGUUGGGUUAAGUCCCGCAACGAGCGCAACCCUUGUCUUUAAUUGCCAUCAUUAAGUUGGGCACUUUAAAGAGACUGCCGGUGUCAAACCGGAGGAAGUGGGGAUGACGUCAAGUCCUCAUGGCCUUUAUGCCCAGGGCUACACACGUGCUACAAUGGGCGGUACAAAGAGCAGCGAACUCGCGAGAGUAAGCGAAUCUCAAAAAGCCGUCCUCAGUUCGGAUUGGAGUCUGCAACUCGACUCCAUGAAGUUGGAAUCGCUAGUAAUCGCGGAUCAGCAUGCCGCGGUGAAUACGUUCCCGGGCCUU